Molecule: ribosomal RNA, 484 nt
Filed under: uncultured bacterium
Lineage: Bacteria
Description: partial 16S ribosomal RNA
Rfam family: Bacterial small subunit ribosomal RNA
Source: RNAcentral
AUUGAACGCUGGCGGCAGGCCUAACACAUGCAAGUCAAGCGGAUGAAGGGAGCUUGCUCCUGGAUUCAGCGGCGGACGGGUGAGUAAUGCCUAGGAAUCUGCCUGGUAGUGGGGGAUAACGUCCGGAAACGGGCGCUAAUACCGCAUACGUCCUGAGGGAGAAAGUGGGAGAUCUUCGGACCUCACGCUAUCAGAUGAGCCUAGGUCGGAUUAGCUAGUUGGUGGGGUAAAGGCCUACCAAGGCGACGAUCCGUAACUGGUCUGAGAGGAUGAUCAGUCACACUGGAACUGAGACACGGUCCAGACUCCUACGGGAGGCAGCAGUGGGGAAUAUUGGACAAUGGGCGAAAGCCUGAUCCAGCCAUGCCGCGUGUGUGAAGAAGGUCUUCGGAUUGUAAAGCACUUUAAGUUGGGAGGAAGGGCAGUAAGUUAAUACCUUGCUGUUUUGACGUUACCAACAGAAUAAGCACCGGCUAACUUCGUG